UACGAAGGGGGCUAGCGUUGCUCGGAAUCACUGGGCGUAAAGGGUGCGUAGGCGGGUCUUUAAGUCAGGGGUGAAAUCCUGGAGCUCAACUCCAGAACUGCCUUUGAUACUGAGGAUCUUGAGUUCGGGAGAGGUGAGUGGAACUGCGAGUGUAGAGGUGAAAUUCGUAGAUAUUCGGAAGAACACCAGUGGCGAAGGCGGCUCACUGGUCCGGUACUGACGCUGAUGUGCGAAAGCGUGGGGAGCAAACAGG
Molecule: ribosomal RNA, 253 nt
Filed under: uncultured bacterium
Lineage: Bacteria
Description: partial 16S ribosomal RNA
Rfam family: Bacterial small subunit ribosomal RNA
Source: RNAcentral